RNAcentral lists this ribosomal RNA (315 nucleotides) under Triticum aestivum (bread wheat). Its description in RNAcentral is "partial small subunit ribosomal RNA". Lineage: Eukaryota; Viridiplantae; Streptophyta; Magnoliopsida; Poales; Poaceae. The record is from RNAcentral.
AUGCCGCGGCGCGCCCUUGCUCCCGCGCUCGCCUUGCUGCUCGCAUACUGCUGCAGCUCUGCUAGUGUCGUUACUAGCUGCUUGCUUGUGCGGCUGUUGUUUUGCUACUGUUGCUAUGCCGCUGCUACUGCUCUGCCUUACUGCUGCUCCAGCCGCUACGGCCAAGUGCAGCCGCUGCCUAGUGCCACUGCUAGCUGCUACCGCCAAGUGCUGCUGCUGCUGGCCAUGGCCGUGGUGUGUGUGAGCGUGCUGUGUGUGUGCACGUGUGUGCACAACCAGCCUCACGGCUGUGCCACCAUGCCGGCCCUUGUUUAG